Molecule: long non-coding RNA, 1330 nt
Organism: Tyto alba (common barn owl)
Lineage: Eukaryota; Metazoa; Chordata; Aves; Strigiformes; Tytonidae
Exons: 6
Source: RefSeq, a predicted model, not a curated record
GCCGGCCUUCGCCCGCCGGGGCCGGCAGUACCGGCGGGGACCGGCCGCGCCCUCCCUCCUUCCCCCGCUCCUGAGGACUGCCAGCCGGCCACCGCCCCCUGCCACGACGGUAUUGCCUUUGCUCAUGCGGCGGAGGCUUAUGGCUUGUUGGCAACACCUUCAGUUACUGCGUGAGGUGCUGCUACAUUUCACGCCAGCCUCGGAUUUUUUUAGUAUGUUUUCGCUGUUUUCAGCUUCUUGAGACCGUUGUGGAAAGAACGCAUGCUUUACAGAAAUUGUAGCUUUGUUUCCAGUGGAGGUCCCAAGAUGAAAUCUGUGAGACUGUAUCUCUGGAGGGCAAGAGUUUCAGGAUGAAAAAAAGAAUAUCCGGCCCUUGACAAGGAAGUAGCAAAUUCCUAUAGUUUGGAAAGAGAUUCCAAGAACCACGUAUCUGUUCACGGAAGAAUAGGUAGCGCUGCUUCAUGCACCUGCUAUGGAGGGCAGUCAUACUACUCUUAAAUACUUGGAGAAGAUAUCUGCAUCCUAUUGGAAAAGGGCAGAUGGAAGACCCCGUUUUCUGCUUGUUCAUAACUUUUUACUCAGGCAUGGAGAGAUGUCUUUGGGAUGGUCUCAGCUUGCUUUCAACUACCCAGUCAUUAUUGCAAAGAAGAUGCUACAGGUGGCCACAGACAAUGUCAGCAGGGCUGGGUGUGUUAGAUUUAUUCCCCUGAGCUAACCUUGCACAACAUCUGCCAGUCCAAGUUGAUACCAGCUUUUCUGAUCAAAGGCAGUUCUGUCUACUGUCCAUCUGCGUUAUCCUUGAAUUGAGAAAUCUGGUGAAAAGCCUGGUGUUAAGAACUCCACCUCCCAAAGAGUUUGUACUGAGCUCCUAAACGCAUGUUGUAUGUUGUUUCACAGUCUCUUACAAAGACCAGUAGUUCCCAGUGUAAAACAGACAAGGUAGCUGCUUUUCUUUCUUGCUAGAAGGAAAUUAGCUAGAGUAUCUUCACUACCAUAUUUAACUCUUUGCUGGGGAUAUAUAAAUAAAGUGUAUUCCUUUUUACAUCUGUGUGUAAGCAAGUAAGUCUAAAAAUAUUUGUGUAGUUAUCUGUGCAUUUAUACGUAUGUAUACGCAUACUUCACAUGUCUUUUCCUAAAUGAAAUAGUUUGCUUUCAAGAACAAAUUGCUUAUAAAUGAAAAAAGAUGCUGUGUAUGUUAAAAAUACUUAUUUUUUUCUGCCAUUUGUGCCUGGAAUAAGAUAAUUUGUGUGGGUUUUUUUUGUUGUUGGUUUUAAUUUUUUAAUCAAUUAGAAAAUAUAAAAGCAGACAUAAAGGGCUGUGGCUCUCAAGA